CCUGGAGCAUUACAGUGAUAAUCAUACCUUCAUUCUUUGCAAUUGUUCUCUAGUGAAUGCAUGUUGUUUUUGUAGUGACUGAUAUUUUAUUUUCACACUGAUCAGCUGCCGUUCCAUUUCUGCCCUACGGUCCUCCACCUCAGCAAAGAGAGAAUUGCCUUUACUUGUAGGGUCCAAAGAUUGCUGCACCACGUGAUCCAGCUGAACCCGAAGCUCCUGAUUAGCUUCACGAGCUUUCUCUAGUGCAUUACAGUAAGAAACAACUUCUUU
RNAcentral lists this long non-coding RNA (270 nucleotides) under Gallus gallus (chicken). The record is from RNAcentral. Lineage: Eukaryota; Metazoa; Chordata; Aves; Galliformes; Phasianidae.